RNAcentral lists this transfer RNA (58 nucleotides) under Oxyrrhis marina. The record is from RNAcentral. Lineage: Eukaryota; Dinophyceae; Oxyrrhinales; Oxyrrhinaceae.
CGUGGCCUAGUGGUUAAGAACUCGGCUACUAACCCAAUGGUCUUGGGUUCAAGCCCGA